AGGAAAAAUUAAAAAGUGUUCCAACAAACAAAUCAGUCUCUCUUUCUCGGCCUCUUCUCACAACUCUCUUCUAAAAAAUUCACAACUCAUCUCUCAAAAAUUUCUUCACAGAAGCACCAAUUUCUACCCCAGUCAUAGCUCGCUCUCUCUCUGCCUCUCUCGGUCUCUCCUCACCGUCAGUAAAAGCUCACCGCCACUACCGUCAAUCGGCCCUUAGCGCCGUCCAGCCAGCGUACUCCGGCCAGGCAGCAGCCGUCUCACACAGUUAAGUACUAUCUCUCUCCCUUUCCACAUCCACAAUCUAAAUAUUUUAUUAAAAUUUUUCUAACAUGUUCGAUUCAAACAUUUUGGGCAAACAUUGGAACUUUAAGAAUUUAAAAUUGAAGAACAAACAAGAGGCAGCUCCUAAGCCUUAAAGAUCGAAGGCUUAGGAGGGAGUGUCAUUCAACAAGUUUCAGAAAUUUCUAAGAUAAAUUGUUCCAGAUUCACAGUGUACUAUAAGGUGUAUGUACGUGGGUAUGGAAUGCAGGGGAUUCAGAAAAAAUGGAUAUACCUUUGGAACGAAACAAACUUUGCACAAACAGAAGAAGAAGAAAAAUAACCGCAUGAAGUUGCGGUGUGGGAAUUAUACGAGAAGAAGGGAUUUUUAGUUGGAGAUUUUUAAGGAGGGUGGAGAUAUGGGAAAAACCAUGUAUUUUGAAAUUAGGAGUAGAAAUUUGAUUUGACUGUGGGUUUUUAAAUAUGGAUUGAUAUUGAUUUGACUGCGGGUUUUUAAA
Molecule: long non-coding RNA, 776 nt
Organism: Salvia hispanica
Lineage: Eukaryota; Viridiplantae; Streptophyta; Magnoliopsida; Lamiales; Lamiaceae
Source: RefSeq, a predicted model, not a curated record